This 425-nucleotide ribosomal RNA is filed under the name uncultured bacterium. RNAcentral describes it as "partial 16S ribosomal RNA". It matches the Rfam family "Bacterial small subunit ribosomal RNA", at positions 354 to 796 of the family's 1533-position model. The record is from RNAcentral.
GUGGGGAAUAUUGGACAAUGGGCGCAAGCCUGAUCCAGCCAUGCCGCGUGAGUGAUGAAGGCCUUAGGGUUGUAAAGCUCUUUCAGUGGGGACGAUAAUGACGGUACCCACAGAAGAAGCCCCGGCUAACUUCGUGCCAGCAGCCGCGGUAAUACGAAGGGGGCUAGCGUUGUUCGAAUUUACUGGGCGUAAAGCGCACGUAGGCGGAUCGUUAAGUCGGGGGUGAAAUCCUGGAGCUCAACUCCAGAACUGCCUUCGAUACUGGCGAUCUUGAGUCCGGAAGAGGUGAGUGGAACUCCUAGUGUAGAGGUGGAAUUCGUAGAUAUUAGGAAGAACACCAGUGGCGAAGGCGGCUCACUGGUCCGGUACUGACGCUGAGGUGCGAAAGCGUGGGGAGCAAACAGGAUUAGAAACCCUGGUAGUCC